This 252-nucleotide ribosomal RNA is filed under the name uncultured bacterium. RNAcentral's name for it is "partial 16S ribosomal RNA". It matches the Rfam family "Bacterial small subunit ribosomal RNA", at positions 524 to 776 of the family's 1533-position model. The record is from RNAcentral.
UACGUAGGGAGCAAGCGUUGUCCGGAAUCAUUGGGCGUAAAGCGCGCGUAGGUGGUCCCGUAAGUCCGCUGUGAAAGUCAAAGGCUCAACCUUUGAAAGCCGGUGGAUACUGUGGGACUAGAGUACGGAAGAGGCGAGUGGAAUUCCUGGUGUAGCGGUGGAAUGCGCAGAUAUCAGGAGGAACACCAAUAGCGAAGGCAGCUCGCUGGGACGUUACUGACACUGAGGCGCGAAGCGUGGGGAGCAAACAGG